This 500-nucleotide ribosomal RNA is filed under the name uncultured bacterium. Its description in RNAcentral is "partial 16S ribosomal RNA". It matches the Rfam family "Bacterial small subunit ribosomal RNA", at positions 30 to 523 of the family's 1533-position model. The record is from RNAcentral.
AUUGAACGCUGGCGGCAGGCUUAACACAUGCAAGUCGAACGGUUGAGAUGUGCUUGCACAUUGAGAUAGUGGCGAACGGGCGAGUAAUGCCUAGGAAUCUGCCAUUUAGUGGGGGAUAACGUUCCGAAAGGAACGCUAAUACCGCAUACGCCCUACGGGGGAAAGGGGGGGAUCUUCGGACCUCUUGCUAAAUGAUGAGCCGAGGUCGGAUUAGCUAGUUGGUGGGGUAAAGGCCUACCAAGGCGACGAUCUGUAGCGGGUCUGAGAGGAUGAUCCGCCACGCUGGAACUGAGACACGGUCCAGACUCCUACGGGAGGCAGCAGUGGGGAAUAUUGGACAAUGGGGGCAACCCUGAUCCAGCCAUGCCGCGUGUGUGAAGAAGGCCUUUUGGUUGUAAAGCACUUUAAGCGAGGAGGAGGCUUUGUUUGUUAAUACCUUACAAAGUGGACGUUACUCGCAGAAUAAGCACCGGCUAACUCUGUGCCAGCCGCCGCCGUAA